Molecule: ribosomal RNA, 408 nt
Filed under: uncultured bacterium
Lineage: Bacteria
Description: bacterial SSU rRNA
Rfam family: Bacterial small subunit ribosomal RNA
Source: RNAcentral
GGGGAAUAUUGCGCAAUGGGGGAAAUCCUGACGCAGCUAUGCCGCGUGGGUGAUGAAGGCCUUCGGGUCGUAAAGCCCUGUCGGAAGGGACGAAGACGUAAGUUUGACGGUACCUUCCAAGGAAGCACCGGCUAACCUCGUGCCAGCAGCCGCGGUAAUACGAGGGGUGCAAGCGUUGCUCGGAUUUACUGGGCGUAAAGCGACCGCAGGCGGUCAGACAGGUCCGACGUGAAAGCCCGGGGCUCAACCCCGGAAGUGCGUUGGAAACCGUCCGACUUGAAUACGGGAGAGGAGAGUGGAAUUCCUGGUGUAGAGGUGAAAUUCGUAGAUAUCAGGAGGAACACCAGCGGCGAAGGCGGCUCUCUGGCCCGAUAUUGACGCUCAUGGUCGAAAGCGUGGGGAGCAAAC